RNAcentral lists this ribosomal RNA (201 nucleotides) under Salmonella enterica subsp. enterica serovar Enteritidis. RNAcentral describes it as "partial 16S ribosomal RNA". It matches the Rfam family "Bacterial small subunit ribosomal RNA", at positions 1 to 207 of the family's 1533-position model. The record is from RNAcentral. Lineage: Bacteria; Pseudomonadati; Pseudomonadota; Gammaproteobacteria; Enterobacterales; Enterobacteriaceae.
UUAAAUUGAAGAGUUUGAUCAUGGCUCAGAUUGAACGCUGGCGGCAGGCCUAACACAUGCAAGUCGAACGGUAACAGGAAGCAGCUUGCUGCUUCGCUGACGAGUGGCGGACGGGUGAGUAAUGUCUGGGAAACUGCCUGAUGGAGGGGGAUAACUACUGGAAACGGUGGCUAAUACCGCAUAACGUCGCAAGACCAAAGA